RNAcentral lists this long non-coding RNA (243 nucleotides) under Mytilus galloprovincialis (Mediterranean mussel). The record is from RNAcentral. Lineage: Eukaryota; Metazoa; Mollusca; Bivalvia; Mytilida; Mytilidae.
GGAAAUUUAUAAAAAUGACCACAUUAUUGAUAUUCAUGUCAACACCGAAAUGUUGACUACUGGGCUGGUGAUACCCUCGGGAACGAAACGUCCACCAGCAGUGGCAUCGACCAGUGGUUAAAAUAGUUAUCAAAGGUACCAGGAUUAUAAUUAAGUACGCCAUACGCGCGUUUCGUCUACAUUAGACUCAUCAGUGACGCUCAUAUCGAAAUAUUAAAAAGCCAAACAAAUACAAAGUUGAAG